GGGCUGGCUUUAGCCCAGUGGUUCCUUCGACUUUGGCCCAACCGCUUGGGCCGCUGGCUUCCAUAGGUCUAGUGGUUCGAGACCUGUGGGUGCUCUCCAGUCCUUUA
Molecule: vault RNA, 107 nt
Filed under: Cavia aperea (Brazilian guinea pig)
Lineage: Eukaryota; Metazoa; Chordata; Mammalia; Rodentia; Caviidae
Description: Vault RNA (ENSCAPG00000003063.1)
Rfam family: Vault RNA
About the family: This family of RNAs are found as part of the enigmatic vault ribonucleoprotein complex.
Source: RNAcentral